AAACUGCGAUAAGUAGCGUGAAUUGCAGACGCUUUGAACGUUAAACUUUCGAACGCACAUUGCGCCGUAGGAGUCCUACCCUGCGGCACAUCUGGUUGAGGGUCGUGAUCAAAAACAGCAGGACUAUGGCUGGAAUAGAAAUAGCUGGUGAAUCACGAGUUCGGCCUACCGCCUCUGGCCGAACGUGUUUUGCCAUAAUGCUAGAAGAGGACAAUCGCUCGCAAGAGAGAUUGCCUACCACACGGAUGAUCUAUUAGCUGAAGCAAUAGGUCUCGGUCACCGGGUAUCAUGCUUAUAUACUCUGUGGCGUCUGAGAUACAGCUAGUGGGCUUCAUACGUGCCUGGUAUUGAGAGUAUUCGCUCUCCCGACCUCAACUCAGGUGUGAUUACCCGCUGAACUUAAGC
RNAcentral lists this unclassified non-coding RNA (405 nucleotides) under plant metagenome. RNAcentral's name for it is "partial contains 5.8S ribosomal RNA, internal transcribed spacer 2, and large subunit ribosomal RNA". The stretch from base 1 to 105 matches the Rfam family "5.8S ribosomal RNA", at positions 50 to 154 of the family's 154-position model. The record is from RNAcentral.